GUAUGCGUGUUACAGAGAGGGCUGUUACGGUGACCGAAUUACCGCAACAUCGGCCGUCACAAGUCAUGACCGCAGUCAAAUUCCAUGUGACCGUUUAGUCACAGCAACUAGGCUUCUCCAAGCUCUGAUGGUCAUUAGUAGUCUACCAACCUUGCUAACUGCCUGGUACUCUGCACUCCAUUGUCCCUCUAAUCAAUAUUGACUAGAUCAAACACUUCAUGAGAGCCCAUGAGCCCAUGUUGCGGAACAUUUCUAUAGGCUAUGCAAUUGCGUGAGUAACAGAGUUUUGACAGUUUCUAUUAAAAAGAGGAUCCCAUCAGCUUUCUAUACGCUCGGCCCUACUAUAUUUAUUUCUCAACUUUCCUAAUAUUAAGCACAUUGCUUUGCAACAGGAGUACAGCCUACCUGGCUGGCAUGAAAAUGAACCACGGGGAAAAGCGUCCUCCAUUCGCUAUUUACAGUUUUCAUUGUUCUCGUACUAAUGAGAUUUACCAGUUAUGGGAGAUGGGCCCGGGGAUUUGCCAGCCAUAUUUCUGAGCGUCUUUCACAGCUGUGCCAAGCAGAGCAGCCUGGUGCAUGAGCUUCUUGGGAAUGCAGCCCACGUUCACACACGUACCACCAAUGCCCCACUUAGUACCUGAAAGAAAUAGGCUUGGGCGCUAUGUCCCCCAACGCGGAGUGAAAAAGUUAGUGAACCCCUGGUCAAGAACACCG
This 714-nucleotide long non-coding RNA is filed under the name Salmo salar (Atlantic salmon). RNAcentral's name for it is "lncRNA (ENSSSAG00000095485.1)". Lineage: Eukaryota; Metazoa; Chordata; Actinopteri; Salmoniformes; Salmonidae. The record is from RNAcentral.